RNAcentral lists this long non-coding RNA (493 nucleotides) under Malus domestica (apple). RNAcentral's name for it is "long non-coding RNA (MDOM_LNC002296)". Lineage: Eukaryota; Viridiplantae; Streptophyta; Magnoliopsida; Rosales; Rosaceae. The record is from RNAcentral.
AUUGACACGUCCCGACCCGAUGUCCUAGGGACAAAGGGUUGGUCACGUGCUGGCCGACACCCGAAGGUGACGAAAGCCAUUUAUUAAGUGCAAAUGCUGAAAACAAGGGAUAUAUAAGACUUAUAAAUACAAAAGAAUAAAGAAUAUGCAUUUAAGGAACGUGUUCAGAGCAUACGACUAACUAGAAUACUAACAGAAAUAAUAUAAAAUUGAAUGAAUAAAAGAAUAAGUCCUACACCAAGAAGACUCGAAGAUGCCGAUGCGGAAGUGCUUGAAUGCCGGGAUUGUAUAUCUUGAUUCUAUGUCAGUACUUAGCCGCCAAAUGCUGCGCCACUAGCGAAGACGGAAACGUCACCAUUAAUUGCCCCCAAGCACAUAAAGGGUACAUUUAGUCAAACUCUACUCAAACGAUUUAAUUUGGGAAAACAGACUUCAGAAACGGGUCCAGGAUGUCGAAAUUAGCCUAGGAAGGUAUUGGACGAAAACCCGAAAG